AUGAUGUCGCACUUCGUAAAUCAUUGUAGAAAACCUAAGCUUUACCUUCAAUAACCGGAGCUACUCCGACAACUCAGAGAGGAUGGCGCAUUGAUAUUGGAGUGCGAUGACCUAGUUCUUCCUUCUUAAAUCCGGAGAGCUGAGGCGAGAAAGGGAGAGCAUAGGUUGCUGCGUGCGGUGAUUGCGGCUUACGGAGUUCACUCGAUUCGUGCCAUUGGGAAGGAGAAGCCGGGUUGAGUUCAUGACAUGACAAAGGAUUUCGAAGCUUUGUUUGGCUUUCUUGCAUUUUGGCCGAGGAAGAACAAACCGGUUUGGAUCACAACCGAUACGAUACAAAUUAUUGGAUCUGUCCGGACUCGAAGAUUUUUGAUGAAAUCCUAGCAGAAAAUUGGGGAAUACUUUUUCAUGCUUUCUGCUUUACCAGUUUUACAAUGGGAUGCAUGGAUUGCACUAAUUUUAGCUUCUGAGCAUCAUUGAUUAAUAUGUUAAGGAAUCCUUAAGCUUUUCAAGUAUAAAUAUGAACUUUUAAGAGUCAUAACUGAACCAAAGUGAUGAAUGAAAACAUAGCUGCAGCUUAGAAGGGUUCUUUUCACCAUUUUCUUGCACUGUAGGUUUUUCCAGCUUCUUCCUCUUGCUGCUGCUACUAGAAGUACCAACAAAAACUGCUUUAGAAAUUAAUUAAGGAUUCAUUUGGGGUAGCUUUUUUACAGCUUUGCUUUUUAGGCAGUUGUUAUGCUUCUGCUUAGCUAAUA
This is a long non-coding RNA of Phalaenopsis equestris, 752 nucleotides long. RefSeq lists it as uncharacterized. NCBI's taxonomy places the organism in Eukaryota, Viridiplantae, Streptophyta, Magnoliopsida, Asparagales, Orchidaceae. The record is from RefSeq and is a predicted model, not a curated record. The transcript has 3 exons.